UGGGGCCUACGGGGCGCAGCAGUGGGGAAUAUUGGACAAUGGGGGGAACCCUGAUCCAGCGACGCCGCGUGAGUGAAGAAGUAUUUCGGUAUGUAAAGCUCUAUCAGCAGGGAAGAAAGAAAUGACGGUACCUGACUAAGAAGCCCCGGCUAACUACGUGCCAGCAGCCGCGGUAAUACGUAGGGGGCAAGCGUUAUCCGGAUUUACUGGGGGUAAAGGGAGCGUAGACGGCU
RNAcentral lists this ribosomal RNA (233 nucleotides) under uncultured bacterium. RNAcentral's name for it is "partial 16S ribosomal RNA". It matches the Rfam family "Bacterial small subunit ribosomal RNA", at positions 333 to 580 of the family's 1533-position model. The record is from RNAcentral.